Molecule: long non-coding RNA, 2300 nt
Organism: Panicum virgatum (switchgrass)
Lineage: Eukaryota; Viridiplantae; Streptophyta; Magnoliopsida; Poales; Poaceae
Exons: 5
Source: RefSeq, a predicted model, not a curated record
CGCAUCGCGACUGUCCCUCCACCCUCAGCACUGCCGCCCCCCACGCCCUUGACCCCCGCACUGCUGCCGCCGCCCUCCCCAUCCCGCACCGCCGCUGCCCUCCCUGCGGCUCCCUGCGGCGACGCGGACCUCGGCCGCGGCUCCCGGCGGCGCGGUGGGCGGAGGUCGGCCUCGGCCGGCGGCCGAAGCUCGGCCGCAGCUCCCGGCGCCGCGCUGGGCUGAGCCCGGACUCGACCGGCUCUUCCCCGGCGGAGCUCGGCCGCGGCUCCAGGCGAGCAGACUCCCGGCGACGCGGCGGACGGAGCACCCUGGCGGCGGCGGCCGCCCACUCUCCUCCUCCUCUCUCUUGCGGCCGCGCGGCGAGUGGGCGGUGGUCGGGCUCCUGCCCGAACGAGCUGUGCAACUACAACAGAAACGGCCAGGGCAACAAAAACAGGGACGGUGCCAGAAGGGGUGUGGAUUGAACUCCGUCGAUGGUGCCACGGAAGCAACAUCCUGGCAUCAGUCAUUUGCCAAACUCAUUGCAGUAAGGUGCUUCCACAAUUGAGAUGGAGUACAUGCCUCGAUGAAUUGUUUGAGCAACGCAGAAAGCAUGACAUUCUAAGGGCCGAGAUCUGCUCAGACUGUCAUCCGGGAGCAGGCCUCCGGCAGUGACACUGCAACCAUUGAGGCAGCAACCACCAAAGAAAACAUAUAUGCCUGAUUUCUUGCAUAUAUGUAUCAGCAUUGUUUGGGUUGGGCUUAAAAGCCUUUCAGAUGCAUUUAAACCUCAUUCAGUAUGACUGAUAUUGGUUAUUUGUGCCUUUAUAAGCCGCAUAAUGUUUCAAGUUCCAAGCCACUUAGCUGUUUCGUUGGGUUUUGUUGUUAAAUUGAGAAUCUGACUUGCUGCAUCCUAGAAUUCCAAGUGACAGAUUUGGUUAGGCUGUGUUUAGUUCAUGAAAUUUUUUGGGUUUGGAUACUGUAGCACCUUCGUUGUUAUUUGAUAAUUAAUGUCCAAUUAUAGACUAAUUAGGCUUAAAAGAUUUAUCUCGUCAUUUCCAAUUGAACUAUGUAGUUAGUUAUUUUUUUCAACUCCAUUUAGUGCUCCAUGCAUGUGUCCGAAGAUUUGGGCCUUAGAUUCCUAUCAUAAAUCAGAGGGAGCUAGCUAAUUCUAAUGACACCGGUUCUACUAGGAUCCUACUACCCCAUCAUGAUACAUGAACAUUUCCCUAUCUAGGACAAUAAUUUAGUGCGGCAUGUAAUUUAAAUUUUCUUCUUGCUUCCCAAAUUACAAUAAAAGAAUAUGGAAUUUCCCUUUUUCCCACCAGUAAGGCAUGAUGAAGUUUUCCUAAUUUCUGUGCCAGUGUACUUGAUUAAGUUGUACAUACUCCCUCUAUCCUGAAAUGUAAGUCAUUCUGGCAUUUUACCAGAUUCAUUGAACAUUCUCUAAAUCUAGACAAACUGUAUGUCCAGAUUCAUUGAACAUUCUAUGAAUCUGGACACAGUAAAACACUCCCAGGAUGACUUACAUUUUAGGACGGAGGGAGUAUUUGCUAUACAUGUGACGAGAUCUUCAAAAUAAGCUUCAAAUGUUGGCUUAAAUCCCAUGGAUAGAUUAAUAUAUACAUAGGUGAAGAAGUCUGCCAGCUUUGAAUUUUAUUUGUCAUUGUAACCUGAUCUUGAGGUAAUUUAAGGCUUUGUCAGGUCUGUAUUUUUUCAUCCACCUUUAUUGGUUGGUUUGGUGAAUUGGUGUAUGCACUAAUCUGAGUACAGCAUGUUUUUGUUCAAUUAAUUUUGCAUAUAUGCCCAGUUUCUUACCUGCUGACCAUGUGUCUGUUCUGUUAGCAGACAGCUUAAUUUUUUGGAAGGGAAGUCCAACAAGGCAAACAACGGUUGUACAAAGAUGGAGGAGAUCAACUUGCUCCUUCAUGGCCUGAGAAUUUGUCAAGUCAUCAAUAAAAAUUAAAACAAAUGGUUCCGUUAGUUUCGUUGGCUAAAUACAUAAUGAGGAAGCACCUGGUGAUGUUGGGAUUUGUUGUUUGCAAAGCACUAUGAUCAAGUACCAAUGUGCUGGAAUUCCUUGUCAAAACACAAAGCUGGAUUAACCUCUGAAAAUAUUGUGUUGCAAACUUAAAUGUCAUUUAGGCCAAUUUGUAUUACAUAGCUUUAUAUCAACAUUUUUCAGGAUUCCAUUGACCUUAGUAGAUCUAAAUUACCAUUUUUUCUGACUUCAUGUUCAGUUGCUAUCCAUGAGAAUUAUAUUUACCUGACAUGUGGUCCCCAAAAGGAUAAGCAAAGAAGAUUUAUCUGUUCGAGCACAA